This 802-nucleotide ribosomal RNA is filed under the name uncultured bacterium. RNAcentral's name for it is "bacterial SSU rRNA". It matches the Rfam family "Bacterial small subunit ribosomal RNA", at positions 29 to 788 of the family's 1533-position model. The record is from RNAcentral.
AUGAACGCUUGGCUGGCGUGCGUUAUCACAUGCUACAGUCGCACGAGUAAGUCCUCUGCUUGCAGAAUGAUAGUAAAGUGGCGCUCGGGUGAGUAACGCGUGGGUAAUCUACCUUCAAAUCGGGGAUAACAUUGCGAAAGCGAUGCUAAUACCGGAUGAUGUGCAAUAGACCCCGGUCUAUAAGAUUAAAGGUGGCCUCUAUAUAUAAGCCACUGUUUGAAGAUGAGCCCGCGUACCAUUAGCCAGUUGGUAGGGUAACGGCCUACCAAAGCAACGAUGGUUAGGUGGUCUGAGAGGAUGACCAGCCACACUGUAAGUGACACACGGUCCAGACUCCUACGGGAGGCAGCAGUGAGGAAUUUUGCGCAAUGGGGGAAACCCUGACGCAGCAACGCCGCGUGAGUGAUGAAGGCUUUCGGGUCGUAAAGCUCUGUCAAGUGGGAAGAACCUGGCCGAUGUGAAUACCAUUGGCCACUGACGGUACCACUGAAGGAAGCACCGGCUAACUCCGUGCCAGCAGCCGCGGUAAUACGGGGGGUGCAAGCGUUAUUCGGAAUUAUUGGGCGUAAAGAGCGCGUAGGCGGUCUUUUAAGUCAGAUGUGAAAGCCCGGGGCUCAACCUUCGGAAGUGCAUUUUGAAACUGACGGACUUGAGUAUGGGGAGAGGGAAGUGGACUUUCUGGUGUAGAGGUGAAAUUCGUAGAUAUCCGGAGGAACCACCGGUGGGCGAAUGCGACUUCCUGGACCAAUACUGACGCUGGCGCGCGAACGUCUUGAGGAGCAAAUAGGAUUUAUAUAUCCCU